This is a long non-coding RNA of Zonotrichia leucophrys gambelii, 8606 nucleotides long. RefSeq lists it as uncharacterized. NCBI's taxonomy places the organism in Eukaryota, Metazoa, Chordata, Aves, Passeriformes, Passerellidae. The record is from RefSeq and is a predicted model, not a curated record. The transcript is spliced from 4 exons.
CCUGGCUUCCCGUGAGGUCUCACUGGGAUCGGGAGUGAGAGAAGCAAACUCUGAAGUUGUGCCCGAAGAAAAGUUGUCCGACUAGAGAAGUCGGGGGGAUCCCGAGUGUCGACACCCGCUCAAUCCUGUUUGGUCCUGGGUUCUUCCUGCUUUUUCUGCAAACCCAGGGGAAGGGCAGGGUUUGCCUAGGAAGCUUGCCGUAGUCUUAUGCAGACAAGGGGAGAAAGGAAACGACACGUCUUCAGAGCGGCACCUCGCCUUGUUCAGUCUUCUCAUCUCCUGGCCAGGGCUGGAAUGGAGGCUGAGGGCGACCUGAGCAGUGCUGGUGCCGGCUCUCCCCACUCGUAGCCCCUUCUAAAGGAAACACGUCUGAGCCCUCAUGGUGAAGAACCAAACCCAACGAAAGUUGGAUCUUUUUCGGAGAGGGGCCGGGGGUGCCGAGCCCGGCGACUCUGUCCGCGGAGCGCUCGACAGCGGCGGAGCGCUCGCCGCGGCUGGGACUUGACCUGCAGAGGGCAAUAGUUGGACGCAAAUGCCAACAAAGGCAGCGGGGCUCGCUGGCUCGGCGCCGCGGCCGGGACCCGAGAAUGCUGUGUAGGAAUCUGUUGCUGCGUAUGACAUCUCUUGCAAGCUCCCAGAGAGAACUGAUGGAGCAUACAGCUAGGGAAUAGGAUACCAGAGAAGCACAGAGAAAGAAUCCAGGCAAUCACCAGGAUGGGAAGGUUCAGCGUCCACUGGAUAUGGGACAAGAUCGCUUGGCAACCCUUGUGGAUUCUCCUUCUUCUGGAGGCGAAUUAUAGUUAUGGAUUUAUUGUCCCGGUGCAGCACUUCCACCAGCAGCAGCAACAGCAGCAGCUUUCUGACUCUCUUCGGUGACGGGUAUUCUUGGGUGGAUAAUACGGAUUACGUUGUUAUUGCUUAAGAAUACGCGUAGUCGAGGAGAGUACCGGCGGCGGGCAGGCAGGCAGGCAGCGCGACCGCCCCCAGCCCACCAGCUGGCUCCUCACCUCCUCUAGUUGCCAAGAUGUUUGCUCUGCCAGAUUUGACCACAGGAAUGUGAGGCCAGUGGGCUGAGCCUCAUGAAGCAGAGAAGAGAAGCAGUUAGCCUGGAGUUUGCAUCUUCCAUCAUUUCCAAGGGCGAGGCAGAAAACUGGUUUCUCCCUGGGAGAAGUCAACCAAAGAGGAACUGUUUACCUUCAAGGAGGUGGGAAUGUGUGAAUGCCAAUGGUCUUUGUCAUUAGCCAGCUCUCUUCAAGCUGGCUGAGGAGCUGACAGGAUCUGUCGAUUCAAUCUCGCCUUCAAAAGACAGGAACAAAAUCACCACUGUAACGUUUUGGCAAAGCAAAAUGUUUUGUUUGCUGGCAAGGGUUUAACUCACGUGCAGCCCUGCUGCCCUCUUAGGAUGUCAAAGAAAGAGGCUUUGCAAGUCAAAUGCUGCCUGCCUCACCAGCCUGUCUUACCCCAGUGAUGAAGUGCUCCAGCAUCAGAAGUCACCUUCUGUGUUCAGCUGAGCUCAACUGGAGUCAUGCUCUCUGGCUGUGCUGUUAAGUGGCUCUGAAGAUGUUACAGGUGCAGGGCCAUGCUGCUGUAUUUCAAGUGAUCAUAAAAACUCGCUGGAUAAAUUGAAAAGGUGUGACUUUUCAUUGUAGCAAGCUUGGACUGGGUAAGCAACUCCGUCACUGUGCUAAGGCAGCAGAUGCAGUCAGUGUUUGGAGGAAAUGGUUCAUGACCUGAUGAUGCUUUCCAAGAGAUUCAAUGAGGGGAAAAAAGAUGCUGGAGGCUCCUCAUGUCAGAGUAACACUGGUGGGACAGGCAAGGGAAGCAGAAGGAUCAGACAGUGGGAGAGGAUGAACAGAAAGGUGCAAUGCAAGCAGAAAACCCCUUUGCCGUGCUUCAGGCUUACUCUUGACCUCAAGAUGUGGGACAAAAAGCAAUAGCUUCAGGAAAAGCCCUUUCCUGAAGAUCAGCAGAGCAUGCCAGGAGGGUGCUGCAGCCAUUGUCUCUGCAACCAAAGUGAGGAGCAAAGCCACAGUCUGAUGGGGUUGGGCUGCAGGGAUCAAGAUCUGGAUCACCCUGAGAGUUGGGUUCAAUGGGUCCCCAGAACCAGGGAAGGCCCUCAGGCCCUCUCCCCACAUGGGGAUUCACAACCAGCUGGGUCAGGGUGCCAUUGGAUGCUGGGAUGGACACUCCCCACAGAAGCAUCACAUCAAAGCUGGUCCUUAGCCAAGCAAACGUCGGUGGGCUGUUCCUGAAGUGUUUGGGUCAGUCCCAGAUAGCCCUGGGAAUGUAUGGGCUCUGGGCCCCGAGCUGUGACCUGAGGAUGGCCCAGGGUGAAGGGCCAGGAUGCUGCCCAGGGACUGCACCCUGAGGAAGGGCAACUGUGAAUCUUGGCAAAAGCCAAGCUGGUCUUGCACAAAUUCUCUGGUGGUUCAGGCUAGCCAAGUUAAACAUGUCCCUUACCCUGGCUUUGUCACAGCUCUGACAGAAGUCCCAGGUGUGGGUCAGAACUGCCCCUGCACAGGGCACUUGCUGGGGCAGGAAGGGUGUGCAGAGAUGGAGCCUGGCGCUGCCAGGGCUUGGCCAUCAUGCUCCCACAUGGGUGACUCACUGAGGAGCCCCUUGGGCAGCAGGUGCACACAGCUUCUGUUCCCUCUGAGCCAAUCCAUACAGAGGCUGUGCUGGGCAGACAUGCUGGGGCCAUGGCUGCUCCCUGGAAGGAGAGAGAGAUCAGAGAGGGAAGAGUGUGGACUGGGAGAAGGGAGAAGGUAAUAAAGGGGCUGAGGUUGAUAUGCUGCUGUUGUGAGCUGCAUUACCUGACAGGACUUGCCCCUUGCCAAGGGUAGGUCAUCUUUCCUUUGACUCAAGAGGAUGUUGGGGGGUGUGUUUGCUAGGCCCAGAAACCAGUCACUGCUGCACUGGGUCUUUACAUGGUCUGUUGUGGUAUGUUCUGCUGCCCUGUGAUCUGCAAUUUCUAUUUAAUUGUUUACAUGAACUCAGGCUCUUGCUGUCUUGGGGGAAUUUCACCUAAGUAAGCACUGGGAAGAUUUACCUUUAUUCAAAUCAUAGCACCUUUGACAUAGUUUUUCUCUGUAUUACUUUGUUUAGGUCCUUUUUAAAGAAGUUAAUAAAGCUGGCAGCACAACUCCAUUGACUCUCAGCAGAACAGCUCUCUCAUUCCUGAGGUCCCUUUCAUAACCAGUUAUAUUAGCAUCCUUCGUUAGCAUCCUGCUUUUCUCUUCAGCAUUACCAUGCAAUGUGCUUUCUUUUGUAGUACCUAAAGCUUGUGAGAUAACUCAGUUUGCCUCCCAGUGGGGGAGAAGGUAUCUGUAAUCUGUGUUUCGUGUCUUGGGUCUCUUGAAAGGACUAGAAAUCCCAAAUGCAGUAACUUGUGGGUUUUCUGUCUUAGAGAAUUAGGAUGUCUUUGCAUUACUGAGCAGGCAAACAGUGAGCAGUGCUUGAUCAAUAAGAGGCAUUGCCAGAGGUCUGCUAUAGUCUGCCACAGCUGACGGUAAGUGUUGCUAUAGGCUAUGGAACUAGGAAUAUAAAAUGUCAAAUGACAGUAAUAAUUCAUGCAUCCUGGGACAUAUAAAACCAACAGCAUGUCAAUAGCUGUGGCAUGCUCUGCAGAAAAUAUGCAGGAUUUAGACAUUGCAGGAGUCUGUUUUAUUUUAAACCACACUUUCCUUGGUGAAAUAUAGACUUUCCCUGUUUGUUAAAAGCAUUUAUUUUCAGUUUCAUGUUGCUACUUCUCUAUUAACAUUCUAAGAGCCACACAGCUCAAAAGGGGCCCUGAGAUUCAAAAAGCAAAAUAUAUGUAUUUACUGAAGAAAAACACAUAAAAUAUUUAUAAAACAGAGGGUGCAAUACUAUUUGAGAUUCAUGGACCAUUUCAGCAUUCAUAAAAGCAAAUAUGGUUCUAGUAUUGGCUUCACCUGGAAUCAGACUUUACUGGAGAGGUUACCCAGGAGGGACCUGCCUUAAAAUGAAACUUAUUACAGUCAUUAAUUUUACAUGGAAAAUCAUUACAUUUUACAUGGGAAGCAGAAUGUCUUGUGAAAUUAGUAAGAACUUCUCCAAUAUUCAUCUUCUUUAAAAAUACUUCAGGAUAAUUAAUAUCACUUUUCUUUUACUAAAAGAUAUGAAGAGGAUGAAUUACUGCAUCUGGGAGGGCACAGCAGGCAUAAGAGGAAAGAUUGUGUGUAUCUGAUACUUGUUUUCCCCUGUGCCCCUGCUGCUUGGGAGCCUAAAAGGGAAGGGUGCUGUUUUACUGGCUAAGGCUCCCACAAAAAUUCUUCAGAUGAAACUUUAAUGAGAGAAGGGUAAAAAUAUAUUUGAGCAGCCCCAUUCUUAUACUUUCAGCUGUUUGCUCCUGAGCGCCUCAACUGUGGGUUGUCAGGCCUCAAUUUCUGUAAAUUUGCUUGAAAGUAGAAGGGCAAGACAGAAAAGUUGCAUGUCCCUCAUGAUUAUAUGAAUAUAGGGCUUAAUGUAAAGGUAGUACUUCUAAAAGAAUGUAAAAUAUUAACUGAAAAAAGAAAGAAGGCAAAGCUUCACAAAGAAAUCCACUACGCAUUAUUUAAAUCUCCCCCUGUGAGAGGCUGAGGAUUCAAACACAUACAAUUGUCUGCUCUUCCAUGUGACAGCAACCCCUCUGCUUUAGAGUUGCACAGUCCUGGCUCUCAGUGCUCUACUUGAGAAUUUUUUUUAAAGUUAUAUAUUAAAAAAAAAAUGUCUUAAAUAUAAUUUCCAUUCUUUGAAGACCAUAAAGUGAUUUUGGGGCAGUGGACUGUACCUAUGUAGACAGGCUCUAAUAGAUAUUUUGGCACAUCUUGCUGAAGCUAACUUGAUAUGGAGAUGAUUAAAAUAAAUAAAAAGCAAAAUUAAUCCUGCUAACCGUCUGAGACCUAAGAAAAGGGAUGUCUUUGUUCUGACGAGAACAUCUUGGCUCGUUCUGCUCCUUUGGCUUGGUUUGGGGAGGAUGUAUUUAACAGUCCUCCCAUGAUACUUGGCAAAUAUAAAGCUGUCACAUUGGAUCCUGCUUCUCUUUGUAUUAAAAGAAUGUCUAUGGUGUUUAUGUUAUGGGAAAAAAGCACUAUUUCUACUUAUUGUAUUUUCAUUGUCUCUUUUCUUAUGACUGUACUGUUUGCCAGCAGCCAAGGGGGCACUUUGAUGCUUGCUUCAAUGCCAUGGUUUAUUGUGUUGCACAGUUGAGCCUAUGGUUUUCCUUUCAAAUCAGAGCUGGCAUACUGGGUGAAAAAAAACCAAACCAAAAAUAAAGCUUUUCUAUAAUUAUGGUUAUCUCAUAAAGUCUGCAUUUGUUACAGCUGCUGGGGUGUUGGAAAUCAGUGUUUGUAAAUACCUAUAUAUUCUGAUUUGUUUUCAGCCUCAGAGAUGUUUUUGUCUGUCUGUGUUCCUCACCCCUGGCCAUUCAUGCAAGCAGCCUUCCCUACCUGCACGCCGAGCUGCACUGCCUCGGGAAGAUACCAGCCUGUUACCCAGCUUAUCUGCAUGGUACAACUUCACCUUGUUCCCUCCUCUCACUCUGAGGGAUUAGCAUCCAAAGAAAACCAAAUUAGUCUGGUAUCAAUUCAGCCAGGAAAGCGAGUGGCCAAAGCGACCAGAACGCUCCUGCUGGCAGGACUGAGUGCAGAAGGAGGCUGGCAGGGCGUGCUCUUUGUGUGCUGCCCAGCUCCACCACGCUCUCUCAGAGCCCCACGGGGACGCCCUGGGUCCUGCUGGGGGGAACCAGACCCUCCUGUGCCCACAGGAAGCUUCACUUGCUGGCUCCAUGCUCCAUGUGGCCGUGCCAGUUAGGAUGUGUACAAUGCCUGCUUGGAUGUGUCUGUUGCUUUUCUCCAUGUGUCUUGUGGUCAUCUGAGAACUGAUGAGGAACCAUUCUGUUUCCAUUUUGCUGAUGGAAAAGGAGAGCCUUUGAGAGGCUGAGUGAUUUGUCCAGGAUUAUGCAGCAAAUCAAUGGGAGAAAACGGGAUCAGGCCAUUCCACACAGGAGUGCCUUUAACUGUCCCAUGGGCUUUCUAGGGAAAGGCAUGCAGGUCCCCAAAGAGGCCUCUUCCAGCAGUGUUCCUCCAUUAUUUCUGUCAGAUUAUUGCUGUGAACAGUGGAGAAAUGCAAAAUGUAUUAUUCAUUUCUCCUACUCCUAAAAUCAAUAGCUAUCAAAAUACAAAAACAAUUUAAAUCAAAAGGCACUUAUUGAGUGCAUAUCCUACUAAUUAGGUAUGAUUUCCCAACAAUUUCUUAAAUUAUUUAUCCAGGGGAUGGGUGAAAGGCACUUUAUAUGUCCCAGAGUGAAUAUUAUAAACCUCUUGUCAUGGUACAGAAAAUGUGAAAUGUAGUACAAUGCAGUGUGAUUUGUAACCUUGAUGAACUAAUGUAAUAUCAAUAGACAUCAAUCUAUGCAAAAAAAAAUCUGUCUCAUCAUAACAUCUAACAAGAUAUGUCAAAAGUCAAUAACUUUGUGAAAUGGACACGUAUCAGUGAAGGUUACAGACUUUGCUGCUAGGAAUCAAUUAAAAAUGUAAUACCCACUUGCAAUGGAAAUUACUACCCCAUCACCAAAAAGGAGGUUUACAUCAUGCAUGGACAUUUGUCAUAAGGGCAGCUCCCUUUAGGCUGGCUGUUGGCUCUGUAAGCAAUUCCACUGUAAUAGAUGGCUUUUUGGUUUUUUUUUCUUAUGCUGCUAUUGCUUAGUUUAGCCCCAUAACCAACAUGCAAAAAAUAUUUAUGCAAUAUCCAGUUAAAUAUAUUUUUAAAACCCAACAGAAAAGAGCCAAUGGUUUGAAGAUUUUUGUUUAAAAAUUAGAAAGCAGCUCUCUUGUUAAAUGGAAGAUUUACAAUUUUCAGUCAAUAAUGUAGAUCAAUGUUCUUCAAUUUUUAAUUAUAAGGAUUUUUCUCAAGCUUCUUUGGAUCUUAAUUUUCAAACUUAUACUUCCCAUCCAUACAGCAGAUCUUAAGGCUCCACCACACCAACAUUGUGUCAAGUGAAAUUCUUGGUCCCAUCAUAUAGGUGUGAUACCCACUCACCAAAUGCUUUCAAUCAGUGAUUUAAAAGAAGAGUAUAAAAUAUAUGUUUUCUCCUCAAUUUUUGAAACCAAUUGAUAAAAUAUUCACUUUUUAGGCAUUUUACUUUGCCAAUGAAAUCUGAUAGUAACUUCAGGGCAAGUGUAACUUUGAGGCCAAAACUAAGGAUUUGAAUGGGAAGGGAGGUCCUAUGGCUUCAGAAACAGCAGUAUGUGAGGGGCUGAAGUAAAACUAUCAGAGUAAUUCAGAGCUUAAACUUUUAUUUUGGUGCUUUCUUGUGUAGCCUUAAUGAUGAUCAGCUCCCAGGAAAGCCAUCAGGAGCCUGAGCAAAAAGCUGCAGUGGUCCAAAGUGCCUGUGUGGUUCAGCUGCUGCAGGCAGCCCACAAUUGCUCUGCAGCACUUCAGUGCAAUUGUGCAACCUGGGAUUCAAGGCAGAGCCAUAACUCAGAAUUUCAUGGCAUUUUAAAGCACAAGUCAGAAUUUUAAUGGUAUUUCAACCUUCCUUAUUAGUUGCACAAUAAGUGUCUUUCAGCCAGUGUUCUGCAAAUUCCUUCCUGGUGGUCUGCAAAAGACACGGCUUGAAAGCCAGAGCAGUGGAGGUGAAUGCUGGGAGUGUGGAAAUGGAUCUUGAAUUGAUGGGAGGAAUAAGGGAUUCUGAAAAAGCACUGCAAUAAGAUGGCACGGGAUAAUAAGGGUAGUAGCGAAAAGUUUAAAAAAGCAUGCCAUGAUUAAAUUGGAUAUAUAGGAUAAAUUCAACUUCAGUUACUCAGCUAUCCUGCUUGUAUUUUUGUUGGUUUUAAUUAAUGAAAAUUUCUCUGGCAGGUAUGAAAGCAAAGUUCAAUCUCAGAGUGUUUGAAUUAGAACUCCUAGUUGCAUCAAGUGAAACAGGCAAUGCUACAUUUAAUGUUUUGCAUUUUCUCAUUCCAUUUAAAUGUGAAUGAGUAUCUGGAAGGAAUAUCCAACAUUGCAGAUACUGUUUAGUGAUAUAUUCUUCUUAUAUUCUUUUCUUCUGUCUAAUGCUUUUCAUACAUGCUUAAAAAGUGUGCGAUUGUCUGUCUGAUUGUAUAUUAGUGACUGCAAAGGUUACCUAAAUUGAGACCAUGGACUAAUUUUAUUUCAAAUGCGGAGUAGAAGCACAUCUGUUUCAAACAGAUUUGUGAAAUGCCUUUUGUGAGUUCAAAUCACAUACAGUAAUGACCACUUAAGUGAGCUCCUACACACACAACAACUCAUUUGCAACAGUGCUAACAAAUGUAUCUAUAAAAUGUCAUUUGCAUUUUGGAGUUCUGAAAUAGGCUCGUCCUCUCCAUUGCCCUGGAAAAUUCAGCCCUCUGUUACUGUGUAGGAGAUACUAAAGAAAAGCAUGUGUUCUUCCUCAUAGAGGAUGUGUUAGCUACUGUAUAACUGUACUUGAUAGAUAUUUCGUAUUUUGCUUGGGUCUCCCUGUGAGAGACCCGUAACAUUUUUUGAGUUGUUAACUAACACGGUUUUCUAGCCAUGAAUUGUUAUGAUUAUAUAAGAUUAUGAAUAUAAUUGAAGUAAUAAAGCCAAAGCAAACAGUCUAGAUUAUA